This 492-nucleotide ribosomal RNA is filed under the name uncultured bacterium. RNAcentral describes it as "partial 16S ribosomal RNA". It matches the Rfam family "Bacterial small subunit ribosomal RNA", at positions 29 to 507 of the family's 1533-position model. The record is from RNAcentral.
AGUGAACGCUGGCGGUAGGCCUAACACAUGCAAGUCGAACGGCAGCACAGUAAGAGCUUGCUCUUACGGGUGGCGAGUGGCGGACGGGUGAGGAAUACAUCGGAAUCUACUUUUUCGUGGGGGAUAACGUAGGGAAACUUACGCUAAUACCGCAUACGACCUACGGGUGAAAGCAGGGGAUCUUCGGACCUUGCGCGAUUGAAUGAGCCGAUGUCGGAUUAGCUAGUUGGCGGGGUAAAGGCCCACCAAGGCGACGAUCCGUAGCUGGUCUGAGAGGAUGAUCAGCCACACUGGAACUGAGACACGGUCCAGACUCCUACGGGAGGCAGCAGUGGGGAAUAUUGGGCAAUGGGCGCAAGCCUGAUGCAGCAAUGCCGCGUGGGUGAAGAAGGCCUUCGGGUUGUAAAGCCCUUUUGUUGGGAAAGAAAAGCAGCAGGUUAAUACCCCGCUGUUCUGACGGUACCCAAAGAAUAAGCACCGGCUAACUUCGUG